This 429-nucleotide ribosomal RNA is filed under the name Coptotermes michaelseni. RNAcentral describes it as "partial 16S ribosomal RNA". Lineage: Eukaryota; Metazoa; Arthropoda; Insecta; Blattodea; Rhinotermitidae. The record is from RNAcentral.
UUACGCUGUUAUCCCUAAGGUAAUUUAAUCUUAUAAUCAAAAUAAAUGGAUCAAACAACUAUAAAUCAAUAUAACCAAAACCAAGAGGAGUUAAAUCAUUCCUCUCAUCACCCCAACAAAACAAAAAGCCCACUCACCAAUAAAUAAAACAAACAACCAAUAAAUGAAUAAACUAAUAUGUCAAACUCUAUAGGGUCUUCUCGUCCCAUAAAAACAUCUAAGAAUUUUAACUCAAAGACCAAAUUCAAUAAAAUAUUCAACACUAAGACAGCUCGUGCCUCGUCAAGCCAUUCAUUCCAGAUCACAAUUAAAGAACUAAUGAUUAUGCUACCUUUGCACGGUCAAAAUACCGCGGCCCUUCAACUUAAUGUCAGCGGGCAGGCCAUACUUCAAAAACUAACAAGAAAAGAUGUUUUUGAUAAACAGGCG